This 253-nucleotide ribosomal RNA is filed under the name uncultured bacterium. Its description in RNAcentral is "partial 16S ribosomal RNA". It matches the Rfam family "Bacterial small subunit ribosomal RNA", at positions 524 to 776 of the family's 1533-position model. The record is from RNAcentral.
UACGUAGGGUGCGAGCGUUAAUCGGAAUUACUGGGCGUAAAGCGUGCGCAGGCGGUUCGCCAAGUCAGGUGUGAAAUCCCCGGGCUCAACCUGGGAAUUGCGCUUGAAACUAGCGAGCUUGAGUGUGGCAGAGGGGGGUGGAAUUCCACGUGUAGCAGUGAAAUGCGUAGAUAUGUGGAGGAACACCAAUGGCGAAGGCAGCCCCCUGGGAUAACACUGACGCUCAUGUACGAAAGCGUGGGUAGCAAACAGG